AUUGAACGCUGGCGGCAGGCCUAACACAUGCAAGUCGAGCGGUAGAGAGGAGCUUGCUCCUCUUGAGAGCGGCGGACGGGUGAGUAAUGCCUAGGAAUCUGCCUGGUAGUGGGGGAUAACGUUCGGAAACGGACGCUAAUACCGCAUACGUCCUACGGGAGAAAGCAGGGGACCUUCGGGCCUUGCGCUAUCAGAUGAGCCUAGGUCGGAUUAGCUAGUUGGUGAGGUAAUGGCUCACCAAGGCGACGAUCCGUAACUGGUCUGAGAGGAUGAUCAGUCACACUGGAACUGAGACACGGUCCAGACUCCUACGGGAGGCAGCAGUGGGGAAUAUUGGACAAUGGGCGAAAGCCUGAUCCAGCCAUGCCGCGUGUGUGAAGAAGGUCUUCGGAUUGUAAAGCACUUUAAGUUGGGAGGAAGGGCAGUAAAUUAAUACUUUGCU
This 442-nucleotide ribosomal RNA is filed under the name Pseudomonas sp. oral taxon D11. RNAcentral describes it as "bacterial SSU rRNA". It matches the Rfam family "Bacterial small subunit ribosomal RNA", at positions 30 to 472 of the family's 1533-position model. The record is from RNAcentral. Lineage: Bacteria; Pseudomonadati; Pseudomonadota; Gammaproteobacteria; Pseudomonadales; Pseudomonadaceae.